GUGUCAGCCGCCGCGGUAAUACGUAGGGUGCAAGCGUUAAUCGGAAUUACUGGGCGUAAAGCGUGCGCAGGCGGUUUUGUAAGUCUGUCGUGAAAUCCCCGGGCUUAACCUGGGAAUGGCGAUGGAGACUGCAAGGCUGGAAUCUGGCAGAGGGGGGUAGAAUUCCACGUGUAGCAGUGAAAUGCGUAGAGAUGUGGAGGAACACCGAUGGCGAAGGCAGCCCCCUGGGCUAAGAUUGACGCUCAUGCACGAAAGCGUGGGGAGCAAACAGGAUUAGAAACCCUGGUAGUCC
Molecule: ribosomal RNA, 292 nt
Filed under: uncultured bacterium
Lineage: Bacteria
Description: partial 16S ribosomal RNA
Rfam family: Bacterial small subunit ribosomal RNA
Source: RNAcentral